This 433-nucleotide ribosomal RNA is filed under the name uncultured Lachnospiraceae bacterium. RNAcentral's name for it is "partial 16S ribosomal RNA". It matches the Rfam family "Bacterial small subunit ribosomal RNA", at positions 341 to 792 of the family's 1533-position model. The record is from RNAcentral. Lineage: Bacteria; Bacillati; Bacillota; Clostridia; Lachnospirales; Lachnospiraceae.
ACGGGAGGCAGCAGUGGGGGAUAUUGCACAAUGGGGGAAACCCUGAUGCAGCGACGCCGCGUGAGCGAAGAAGUAUUUCGGUAUGUAAAGCUCUAUCAGCAGGGAAGAAAAUGACGGUACCUGACUAAGAAGCUCCGGCUAAAUACGUGCCAGCAGCCGCGGUAAUACGUAUGGAGCAAGCGUUAUCCGGAUUUAUUGGGUUUAAAGGGUGCGCAGGCGGCUUUCUAAGUCAGUGGUUAAAUAGCGGUGCUCAACGCCGUCCCGCCAUUGAUACUGGAGAGCUUGAUUGCGGUCGAGGUUUGCGGAAUUCGUCGUGUAGCGGUGAAAUGCAUAGAUAUGACGAAGAACACCGAUUGCGUAGGCAGCAGACCAGGCCGUAAAUGACGCUCAUGCACGAAAGUGCGGGGAUCGAACAGGAUUAGAUACCCUGGUA